Molecule: ribosomal RNA, 565 nt
Filed under: uncultured Glomeromycotina
Lineage: Eukaryota; Fungi; Glomeromycota
Description: SSU rRNA
Rfam family: Eukaryotic small subunit ribosomal RNA
Source: RNAcentral
UUGGAGGGCAAGUCUGGUGCCAGCAGCCGCGGUAAUUCCAGCUCCAAUAGCGUAUAUUAAAGUUGUUGCAGUUAGAAAGCUCGUAGUUGAAUUUCGGGGUUAGUAGGCUGGUCAUGCCUCUGGUAUGUACUGGUCUCACUGAUUCCUCCUUCCUGAUGAGCCGUAAUGCCAUUAAUUUGGUGUUGCGGGGAACUUGGACUGUUACUUUGAAAAAAUUAGAGUGUUUAAAGCAAGCUAACGCUUGAAUACAUUAGCAUGGAAUAAUGAAAUAGGACGUUCGAUCCUAUUUUGUUGGUUUCUAGGAUUGACGUAAUGAUUAAUAGGGAUAGUUGGGGGCAUUAGUAUUCAAUUGUCAGAGGUGAAAUUCUUGGAUUUAUUGAAGACUAACUACUGCGAAAGCAUUUGCCAAGGAUGUUUUCAUUAAUCAAGAACGAAAGUUAGGGGAUCGAAGACGAUCAGAUACCGUCGUAGUCUUAACCAUAAACUAUGCCGACUAGGGAUCGGAUGAUGUUAAUUUUUUAAUGACUCAUUCGGCGCCUUACGGGAAACCAAAGUGUUUGGGUUC